Molecule: ribosomal RNA, 254 nt
Filed under: uncultured bacterium
Lineage: Bacteria
Description: partial 16S ribosomal RNA
Rfam family: Bacterial small subunit ribosomal RNA
Source: RNAcentral
UACGUAGGGUGCGAGCGUUGUCCGGAAUUAUUGGGCGUAAAGAGCUCGUAGGCGGUGUGUCACGUCGGCCGUGAAAACCUGCAGCUUAACUGUGGGCGUGCGCUCGAUACGGGCAUCACUGGAGUUCGGCAGGGGAGACUGGAAUUCCUGGUGUAGCGGUGAAAUGCGCAGAUAUCAGGAGGAACACCGGUGGCGAAGGCGGCUCUCUGGGACGGUACUGACGCUGAGACGCGAAAGCGUGGGGAGCGAACAGG